Molecule: transfer RNA, 84 nt
Filed under: Micromonospora purpureochromogenes
Lineage: Bacteria; Bacillati; Actinomycetota; Actinomycetes; Micromonosporales; Micromonosporaceae
Description: tRNA-Phe
Source: RNAcentral
GGCAGCGCGCCCCAGCCUGGUCAGCCGAUCGAGCCUCUCCGACCGAAAAUCGGAAGGUCGGCGGUUCGAUCCCGCCCCUGGCCA